UACGUAGGGGGGCAAGCGUUGCUCGGAAUCACUGGGCGUAAAGGGCGCGUAGGCGGGAAGCCAAGUCGGUCGUGAAAUCUCCGGGCUCAACCCGGAGGAGUCGGCCGAAACUGGUUUUCUUGAGGGAGGCAGAGGAGUCUGGAAUUCCCGGUGUAGCGGUGAAAUGUGUAGAGAUCGGGAGGAACACCGGUGGCGAAGGCGGGACUCUGGGCCUACCCUGACGCUGAGGCGCGAAGGCGUGGGGGAGCAAACAGG
Molecule: ribosomal RNA, 255 nt
Filed under: uncultured bacterium
Lineage: Bacteria
Description: partial 16S ribosomal RNA
Rfam family: Bacterial small subunit ribosomal RNA
Source: RNAcentral